CAUGCAAGUUGAGCGCUGAAGGUUGGUACUUGUACCAACUGGAUGAGCAGCGAACGGGUGAGUAACGCGUGGGGAAUCUGCCUUUGAGCGGGGGACAACAUUUGGAAACGAAUGCUAAUACCGCAUAAAAACUUUAAACACAAGUUUUAAGUUUGAAAGAUGCAAUUGCAUCACUCAAAGAUGAUCCCGCGUUGUAUUAGCUAGUUGGUGAGGUAAAGGCUCACCAAGGCGAUGAUACAUAGCCGACCUGAGAGGGUGAUCGGCCACAUUGGGACUGAGACACGGCCCAAACUCCUACGGGAGGCAGCAGUAGGGAAUCUUCGGCAAUGGACGAAAGUCUGACCGAGCAACGCCGCGUGAGUGAAGAAGGUUUUCGGAUCGUAAAACUCUGUUGGUAGAGAAGAACGUUGGUGAGAGUGGAAAGCUCAUCAAGUGACGGUAACUACCCAGAAAGGGACGGCUAACUACGUGCCAGCAGCCGCGGUAAUACGUAGGUCCCGAGCGUUGUCCGGAUUUAUUGGGCGUAAAGCGAGCGCAGGUGGUUUAUUAAGUCUGGUGUAAAAGGCAGUGGCUCAACCAUUGUAUGCAUUGGAAACUGGUAGACUUGAGUGCAGGAGAGGAGAGUGGAAUUCCAUGUGUAGCGGUGAAAUGCGUAGAUAUAUGGAGGAACACCGGUGGCGAAAGCGGCUCUCUGGCCUGUAACUGACACUGAGGCUCGAAAGCGUGGGGAGCAAACAGGAUUAGAUACCCUGGUAGU
Molecule: ribosomal RNA, 757 nt
Filed under: uncultured bacterium
Lineage: Bacteria
Description: bacterial SSU rRNA
Rfam family: Bacterial small subunit ribosomal RNA
Source: RNAcentral